RNAcentral lists this ribosomal RNA (253 nucleotides) under uncultured bacterium. RNAcentral's name for it is "partial 16S ribosomal RNA". It matches the Rfam family "Bacterial small subunit ribosomal RNA", at positions 524 to 776 of the family's 1533-position model. The record is from RNAcentral.
CACGUAGGGGCAAGCGUUGUCCGGAUUUAUUGGGCGUAAAGAGCUCGUAGGCGGUUCGGUAAGUCGGGUGUGAAACCUCCAGGCUCAACCUGGAGUCGCCACUCGAUACUGCUGUGACUAGAGUCCGGUAGGGGAGCGUGGAAUUCCUGGUGUAGCGGUGAAAUGCGCAGAUAUCAGGAGGAACACCAGCGGCGAAGGCGGCGCUCUGGGCAUGUCCUGACGCUGAGGAGCGAAAGUGUGGGGAGCGAACAGG